CAGCUAGUGCAAUGUUUCUAUGAUGGAUUGACUGAACGAAACUGUCAGAUGAUCGAUGCCGCAUGCGGGGGAACUUUCAUGCUUAAAAGUGACCAUAAGGCAUGGCAAUUGUUUGAAAACCUUAAUAAAAAUUCCCUCCACCAUGCCUCCUCCGCUCGUCAAGCACCCCCGAGUUCUCAAAGAAAAGGGACCAUAUAUGAAGUUAGCCAGUCCAUAAGUCUAUCUGACAAAGUA
RNAcentral lists this long non-coding RNA (234 nucleotides) under Phoenix dactylifera (date palm). RNAcentral's name for it is "long non-coding RNA (PDAC_LNC008779)". The record is from RNAcentral. Lineage: Eukaryota; Viridiplantae; Streptophyta; Magnoliopsida; Arecales; Arecaceae.